Molecule: long non-coding RNA, 353 nt
Organism: Phymastichus coffea
Lineage: Eukaryota; Metazoa; Arthropoda; Insecta; Hymenoptera; Eulophidae
Exons: 3
Source: RefSeq, a predicted model, not a curated record
GCAGCUGCAGACGUAUCUUUAUCACGUCGAUAGGAUUGGUAAAGCAGCCUGCGCCUACUCCCGACACCGCGGCAAACAGGAAUUCGACACCGGACCUGCGCCAAUGGAGCAACGCAUGAUGCAAUGUUUGUUAUCGUAAGCUAUUUGGCCGUCCCCACUUUUCAAUACAGAACUUGCGAGGUCCAGUAGAGCCUCUAAGCGCAGCAAAGCCUUCAUAGGGUAUACUUGAGGAUGAGCGUCGUGGUAUCCACUUCUAUACUCAGUAUGUGCUCGCCAAUCGUUGAGAUCAAUCUCCGCAGCACCAGCUAUCACCAAUUCAAGUUCUCGUGCAUCGAACACUGAUACUAGUCGAG